UGGCACGUAGCUCAGUUGGUAAGAGCAUCCGUUUGAAAAGCGGAAGGUCCCUGGUUCGACCCCAGGCGUGCCAGCCA
This 77-nucleotide transfer RNA is filed under the name Mycobacteroides abscessus subsp. abscessus. Its description in RNAcentral is "tRNA-Phe(gaa)". It matches the Rfam family "tRNA". Rfam says of the family: Transfer RNA (tRNA) molecules are approximately 80 nucleotides in length. Their secondary structure includes four short double-helical elements and three loops (D, anti-codon, and T loops). Lineage: Bacteria; Bacillati; Actinomycetota; Actinomycetes; Mycobacteriales; Mycobacteriaceae. The record is from RNAcentral.